GGAUCGCAUCGGGUUUUGAGUCGCGAUGGCUCGUGAUGCGUCAUAUGUAAUUUAUCUGACGGAAGAAGUUGAAAUUUACGGCGGAUAAUGUUAUGGAAACACCAUAUUCCGAACGAAAUUUUCCGUUUCGAGAAGAAUGAAGAAAAAUAAUUAUGAACCAUCCCCGAGUAUUCCUGCCUCGAUAAACAUUCCGAAUAAAGAAAAAAAUUCAAGAUAAACUGAACUAGAAGCCACGCGUAAUUUGUUCGCGUCACAUGAAUAAGAGCCAACACGACGGCCUGGACCAAUCUAGAUUAACACAGCUGAUUAGCAUGGGAUGGCUCUCGCACCUGUUUUUAGAAGCCGCGCAUAGUUGUAAUUCGGUCGGCCCGUCAUCUAUCAUAAUUUUCCAGUCGGCCUCUGCUCAUCCUCCCCUUUAUAUCUUCCAUACGCUUCGUAUGCAAAUAUCGUACCUGCCGGCCUACAUCGACUGGAAAAAAAAGACGAGAAAACCCGACUACCGUGGACGAUCGGCCGGGCAUAUUCGAGGAAAAAAUUACCGGUAAUCCGUGAUGUAAGUUUUCGGAUGCCAGCAGUGUGUUACGGGAUCAGUUAUUAUACUGCGGGUAAGGGAAGAUAUGCUUCAUGGAGACGGUAUGCAAUAAUUUAUCAAGAUGUGAUUAAUGUGUUAAGCAGCACUUUUUAUUCAUAAAAAUAUGUUUUCAUAACCUAUAGAUGAAAGGAAAUUUUAAUAUUUACAGGAGAAAAGUACAAUGAUUGCAGCUUGGUUAAGCGUGCGAUAAAAUGAUCGACGAUAUGUACUUAACUAUAAUUAACAUCUUCUCUAUAACAUAUAGAAUCAUUUGUUUAAAUAAAAACAAAACAAAUUCUUUAGAUUUAUAUGAUUUAAAAGCUGUGACUUUCUAAUGAUUACAAGAUAGUGAUGCGAUUUUGUACAUGAGCAAAAAAAUAAUAUAUUUUUCUCGUAACGCAUACAAGUACGUAGUUGAUAUGGUGAUUUGAAAAUUCGAGGUUCUCUUUGUAAUAUCGUUAAAAAGUAGAUUCUAUUGUUUACCAUUCAAACAGUAUAACCUGUUCAAUAAAUUCUACU
This is a long non-coding RNA of Nasonia vitripennis (jewel wasp), 1090 nucleotides long. RefSeq lists it as uncharacterized. The record is from RefSeq and is a predicted model, not a curated record. The transcript is spliced from 2 exons. NCBI's taxonomy places the organism in Eukaryota, Metazoa, Arthropoda, Insecta, Hymenoptera, Pteromalidae.